This is a non-coding RNA of Myotis lucifugus (little brown bat), 87 nucleotides long. The record is from Rfam. NCBI's taxonomy places the organism in Eukaryota, Metazoa, Chordata, Mammalia, Chiroptera, Vespertilionidae.
AGAGGCCCUCCGUGGCCGGGGUGGAACGCUUGCCUCGUUACUUUGGCGACAAAGCAAGCAUUCCGCCAGGCUGUCCACAUUGCCUGC